RNAcentral lists this ribosomal RNA (253 nucleotides) under uncultured bacterium. RNAcentral describes it as "partial 16S ribosomal RNA". It matches the Rfam family "Bacterial small subunit ribosomal RNA", at positions 524 to 776 of the family's 1533-position model. The record is from RNAcentral.
UACGUAGGUGGCAAGCGUUGUCCGGAAUUAUUGGGCGUAAAGCGCGCGCAGGCGGUUCUUUAAGUCUGAUGUGAAAGCCCACGGCUCAACCGUGGAGGGUCAUUGGAAACUGGGGAACUUGAGUACAGAAGAGGAAAGCGGAAUUCCACGUGUAGCGGUGAAAUGCGUAGAGAUGUGGAGGAACACCAGUGGCGUAGGCGGCUUUCUGGUCUGUAACUGACGCUGAGGCGCGAAAGCGUGGGGAGCAAACAGG